Scylla paramamosain (green mud crab) is the source of this 1897-nucleotide RNA transcript. RefSeq lists it as uncharacterized. NCBI's taxonomy places the organism in Eukaryota, Metazoa, Arthropoda, Malacostraca, Decapoda, Portunidae. The record is from RefSeq and is a predicted model, not a curated record. The transcript has 6 exons.
UUCAGGGUGUUUGGGGGGAGGAGAUGGGGAAAUGGGGUGACGGGGGAAAGGAGGAAUGGUUAAACUUCACCCUCACCCUGUACCUUACCCUGUACCCUGCUCACCCUGCCUACAGUCACAGCAAGAAGGAUGGUGAGGUGAGGCAGGCCAGGCUCAACUCAAGGAUGCAGCCAGAAUUUACAAAGAUGCCAAGUAGGAGAUACCCAGUAAGUCAGCCUGUAAACACCUGUAGCAGUCUCCCUGCCCCUCCCUGCCUCCCCCAGAGCUUGGAGAACACCUACGGCGUGGAGACACCCAGUAAGUCAGCCUGUAAACACCUGUGGCAGUUCUGUGUUGAGCAUCACGCCUUCUUCAGAUUAACUCAAGCUUCUGGGAAUUCUGCAGAUGCUGUCUUCUCCCUCAGAGGAGGAUUGUGGAAAGUGCACAGGACACACCAAGACUGGAGAACACUAAGGCAAAACAUUUUUCGAUCAAGUUCUAUGACGUUAGGGGGUCGCAGCUCCUCCCCCCACAGCACCAGUUCAGCCUCGCAUCCCCCCAUUACCACCACCACCACCACCACCAGGGUACAAGGAGAGAGUCCCAAGUCCCUCCAGUCAACUACUACUACUACUACUUCUGGUGGUCAUGACUAUUGGGUGUUGAGAAGGGCCUCCAGUGUGGAUAGUCAGUUGUCGGUGGACUCCAGGGCUCACAGAAACACAGUUACAAGAACGCACCAAGCAUCUCUACCCCAUAGAAGGUUAUACCCCAUUUCACUUAAUCAGAACUGAUGGAGAGCAUGGAAGGAUUACUAUCUACACCAAAAAUAUGAUAAAUAUACAAGUUCUAAAUCAGUUCUCUUUUAUAAACAGUGAUAUUGAAAUAAGUACAACAAAGGUAAUUGUAGGGAGCACCAGUUAUAUUAUCUCAGUAAUUUACAGGAUCAAUAGUAAACAUAUAGUUGUUAAUGAAUUCACAGACAUUAUCAAUAAUUUACUAGUUGCUGAAACUUUUAAAAAUAACAAAACAAUUCUCAUUGGGGACUUUAACAUUAAUUUACUUGAACAUUCCACUCAUCUUCCUACCAACUUAUUCCUCAACACAAUGCAAACUCUGCAUCUCACACAUCUCAACCAACAAGAUUUCCUGACAGCCCUGACCUUGGUCAACCAUCAUUACCAGACCAUAUCUGGACUAAUUUCACACCUCCAUCAUUAUCAGAUCAGGCAGCAGCAAGCCUCAGUGGGCCCAGGUCACAGUGGGUCACACUCAGGUCAGAGGUCACAUGGCCACAGUGCACGACCUGACACACAAGAGUGGGUACCACCCUUCAGGUGUGGACACGGAGGUUGACUCCCUCCACCACCACCACCACCACCACCACUCGGCUAACAAGAAACAACAUCACAAACACCGUAACUCCAGUGAUUGGAAGGCUACCCUCCCCCUGUGGAUGGAGAGAGCCCUCCCCUCCAUACACGCCAUCCACGCACUCCAAGAACCAUACACUUCCGAAGGGCUGCAGUAAGGUGCAUGUGUGUGUGUGUGUGUGUGUGUGUGUGUGUGUGUGUGUGUGUGUGUGUGUUGUUGUUGUUGUUGUUGUUGUUGUUGUUGUUGUUGUUGUUGUUGUUGUUGUUGUUGUUGUUGUUGUUGUUUGUUGUUGUUGUUGUUGUUGUUGUUGUGGUUGUUGGUUGUUGUUGUUGUUGUUGUUGUUGUUGUUGUUGUUGUUGUUUUGCAGGAGGGGACAGUGGAGGGAAGAAUACCAGAUGGAGCUGUAGGAGGCAGAGAAGGAGGAGGAGGAGGAGGAGGAGGAGGCUUCAGCUCAAAGGCAUUAUAUUGUAAAAAAAAAAUGUGUGUGUGUGUCCAGUUCUUCCUUUCUUCCUUCCUCCUCCUCCUCCUCCUCCUCCUCCUCCUC